This 501-nucleotide ribosomal RNA is filed under the name uncultured bacterium. Its description in RNAcentral is "bacterial SSU rRNA". It matches the Rfam family "Bacterial small subunit ribosomal RNA", at positions 24 to 518 of the family's 1533-position model. The record is from RNAcentral.
UCAGAUUGAACGCUGGCGGUAUGCUUAACACAUGCAAGUCGAACGGUAACAUUGGAGCUUGCUCCAGAUGACGAGUGGCGGACGGGUGAGUAAUGCAUAGGAAUCUGCCUAUUAGUGGGGGACAACCUGUGGAAACGCAGGCUAAUACCGCAUACGCCCUACGGGGGAAAAGGGGGGAUCUUCGGACCUCUCGCUAAUAGAUGAGCCUAUGUCAGAUUAGCUAGUUGGUGAGGUAAGAGCUCACCAAGGCGACGAUCUGUAGCUGGUCUGAGAGGAUGAUCAGCCACACUGGGACUGAGACACGGCCCAGACUCCUACGGGAGGCAGCAGUGGGGAAUAUUGGACAAUGGGCGCAAGCCUGAUCCAGCAAUACCGCGUGUGUGAAGAAGGCCUGAGGGUUGUAAAACACUUUCAAUUGGGAGGAAUACCUGCUGAGAUAAUAUCAGGCAGAUUGACAUUACCUUUAGAAGAAGCACCGGCUAACUCCGUGCCAGCAGCCGC